GGGGGCGCAUGACCGUAAACAUUAUCCCCCGG
RNAcentral lists this non-coding RNA (32 nucleotides) under Escherichia coli. Lineage: Bacteria; Pseudomonadati; Pseudomonadota; Gammaproteobacteria; Enterobacterales; Enterobacteriaceae. The record is from RNAcentral.